UACAGAGGGGGGCAAGCGUUGUUCGGAAUUACUGGGCGUAAAGGGCGCGUAGGCGGCCCGCUAAGUCGAACGUGAAAUCCCCGGGCUCAACCCGGGAACUGCGUCCGAUACUGGCAGGCUUGAAUUCGGGAGAGGGAUGUGGAAUUCCAGGUGUAGCGGUGAAAUGCGUAGAUAUCUGGAGGAACACCGGUGGCGAAGGCGGCAUCCUGGACCGAUAUUGACGCUGAGUGCGCGAAAGCCAGGGGAGCAAAGCGGG
This 256-nucleotide ribosomal RNA is filed under the name uncultured bacterium. Its description in RNAcentral is "partial 16S ribosomal RNA". It matches the Rfam family "Bacterial small subunit ribosomal RNA", at positions 524 to 777 of the family's 1533-position model. The record is from RNAcentral.